AGGUACAUAGAUAGCACGUUGAACGCACCAGUUCCCGAAGGAAUACUGUUGCAACGUUCCACGUGGUUGGUAUUUGGAUGGGUGACCAUCUGGACAAUCGCGUGCUGAUGCACUUU
Molecule: ribosomal RNA, 116 nt
Filed under: Diaphorina citri (Asian citrus psyllid)
Lineage: Eukaryota; Metazoa; Arthropoda; Insecta; Hemiptera; Psyllidae
Source: RNAcentral